Papaver somniferum (opium poppy) is the source of this 3151-nucleotide long non-coding RNA. RefSeq lists it as uncharacterized. The record is from RefSeq and is a predicted model, not a curated record. Lineage: Eukaryota; Viridiplantae; Streptophyta; Magnoliopsida; Ranunculales; Papaveraceae. The transcript is spliced from 4 exons.
AGCUUCUUAAUUUUUUUUAGUAUAUUAUAAACUUGCAUUGCUAGUUGCUGAACUGAAGCUUAUAUAUAUAUGUGUAUCAUCUUGCAAAUUUCAUUUAAUCCAAGUGUGUGGUCCUUCAUUACCAUAUCGAAUACAAUAAUUUCAGUAUUGCUACUUAGAGUUCAGAAAUUUCAGAUUGAUCAAUAACAAAAAAUGGUUUUUGAGGAAUUUUUUGUUGCUUGUGCUGUGGAGAUGUUGAAGAGCUUAAUCAUUUUGGUUCUCAAGGAGCUUAAAGAAGCCUCCUGUGUAAAAGAAGAGCUGAAAAAACUUGACAAUACUUUGUCCAUAAUUCAAAUGGAAAAAGUAGAAGACGUUGAGAAACAACAAAUGGAAAAAGAAGCGCUCAGAGAGUGGUUGGAAGGGCUUAAAGACGUGACUUAUGAUGCUGAUGAUAUUCUCGAUAAGUUCUCAUAUCAUGUUAUGCAUGAGAAGGAGAUGAGCGGCCGUAAGAGAGACAAACUACGUGUAAACCUGUCACUAAGAUCAAAUCCACUGGUGUUUCGAUUCAACAUGGCUGAUAAUUAAAAUCAGAAAAAUCAAUGAAAGAUUAGAUGUUAUUGCCAAAAAUAUGCCAAUGCCAUAUGGUCGUUAUACCUCGCCUUUGGUAUCAAUUUAUGAGCAAAUUAAAGAUAACCAGGAAACGACAUCUUUCAUUGACAAUUCAAGGAUUAUUUUUGGAAGAGAAAAGGAUAAAGAAAAGAUAAUAAAAGUCUUAUUAGAAACGAUUAGAUGCUCCUCUUCCUCAUCAGAUUCAAGAGUUUCCGUUCUUCCAAUUGUAGGUAUGGGGGGUUGGGGAAGACCACCUUGGCAAGAUCAAUCUACAAUGACGAAGUGGUAUCCGACACCUUUGCGCUGCGAAUAUGGGUCCAUGUGUCCAUUGAUUUUGAUGUUAAGAAAAUCUUAAUACGGGUCGGAUAGUAGUACUUACGACCGAGAUGCAAAUAUGGAUGUUCUAGAACGCAAAAUGAGGAAAAAAUUGAGUGGUAAAAGAUACUUGCUUGUACUUGACGACGUCUGGAACUUGAAAACUGAAGUCUGGAAUAAUAGGAGAGAUAUUGCACUCUAUGAAGACCAGCGAAGAAUGGUCAUUUAUCCGAGACAGCAAGUCCUGGGAAUUAUCUGGAGACUAUCAAGUUUUACCUGCAUUGAGGUUAAGUUACAGAUAUUUGCCGUCAUGUUUGAAGCAAUGCUUCGCUUAUUGUUCGUUAUUUCCGAAGGAUUCAUGAUUUGAGAAGCAAAGCUUAAUUCAGUUAUGGAUGGCGGAAGGAUUUCUUCAUCCGUCUGAUGGAAAUCGUGAAAAACAGCUUGAGGAUAUCGGAAAUGACCAUUUUAAUAGUUUGUUGCAGAACUCCUUGUUACAAGAAGAGACAGAUGCUCAUGAUGGAGAUACUCAACAUUACAAACUGCAUCAUCUUAUGCAUGAUCUUGCAAAAGAUGUUGUCGGAAAUUAUGAAUGCUCGAUCAUUAAGGUCAGUGAGAUUGUUAAUCAAGAUAUUUCAAAAGUUCGGCGUUUAAGGUUGAUUUUUGAUGAAGGCAAGAUACCAUACCCAGAGACGCUGAAAGAUGAAUCGAAAUUGCGCACUUUGCUUAUUCAUACUCAAGUAGGAGAUAAUUACAUCAAUUAUGAAAACAUUUUCAACUAUAAGAAGUUCCGCGUGUUAGAUUUGCAGCGGUGUACUAGUAUUCAAGAGUUACCAAGCUGAAUCAAAAAAAUGAAACAUCUCAGGUACCUUGAUCUAUCAUACACUCAAAUUGAAGGAUUACCCGAAUUCGUAUCUCGGCUCUACAAUUUGAAGACUUUGCUUCUCAGGUAUUUCCCAAAACUAAAAACAUUUCCUGACAAAAUGGGGAUGUUGAAGCGUCUGAGGUACCUCGAUCUUUCUGGAUCAAAUUUUGUUGAAUUACCGGAGUCCAUUACUCAUCUUUCCAACUUGCAGACUUUGAAGCUCGGAGAUUUUUCUAAGCUUAAAGAGCUUCCAAAGCACAUAAGUAAGUUGAGCCACUUAAGACAUCUCAUUGUAAGCAACAACGGAAGAUGGAACGAAAUGCCAAGGGAGAUUGGAUGUCUUUCUCGUCUUCAGACAUUACAAGUAUUUAAAGUGGAUGGCAGAGAUGGCGGUAGCAUUAGGGAGUUGGGAUCCCUGAAUUCUUUGGAAAGCAAACUACAUAUCAGUAAUCUUCAACACGUGACAGAACCGAAAGACGCCGAGAAAGCAAAUUUGAAGGGGAAAGAAAACAUUGAAAGCUUAAUGUUGGAAUGGAGCCGUAGACCAGAUGAUGCAGAAUGUGCUAUUGAUGUUUUAGUGAUGGAGAAAUUGCUACCAAAUCCUAGAUUGAAAACAUUGAAGAUUGUUAACCAUCCGAGUCCCAGGUUUCCAACAUGGAUGGCGAGUGGUAGUAUUUCUUCAUCUCUUCCAAAUUUGGUAUAGCUAGAGUUAAAAGGUUGUUUGAUUUGUCAAGAACUUCCAGGGCUUGGGCAACUUCCAUCUCUCAAGGUUCUCACAAUUGACACAAUGAGAGAUGUGGUGUGUCUUGGUAAUGAUUUUGACGGUGAUCGUGAAGCAUGUCAACCGUUUCCGGAGUUGGUAAAACUCACCUUAUGCAACUUUCCUGUCCUGCAGAAAUGGUUUUCUUUUUAUCCGCGGCUCGAGAAGCUGAUUGUUGAGAGAUGUCCAAAUCUGGAACACAGCCAAGACGUGAACUUCAUAAGAAGUUUCAUUCCUUCAAUCAAAGAAUACGAACUGGAUGGCGCCAAAUUAAUAAGCAGACUGGAUUUGCGCAGGACUAUGCGCAUAGUACGAAGUAUGGUGACAUUACAACUACAAUGAAGCGGAAGAUAUGAACUGUGAGCAGAUGGGCAUUAAUGGGAUUGCACCUGAGAUCCCAGAGGAUUUGUACCAUUUGAUCAAGAAGGCUGUUGCUAUCAGGAAGCAUUUGGAGAGGAACAGGAAGGACAAGGACUCUUAAGUAUAGAUUGAUUUUGGUUGAGAGCAGGAUUCACUGUCUUCCCCGUUAUUACAAGAGGACCAAGAAGCUUCCCCCAGUCUGGAAAUAUGAAUCUACAACUGCCAGUACUCUUGUUGCUUAGGUUGGACUUCCAUCUAGGUACAGU